Molecule: long non-coding RNA, 1061 nt
Organism: Rana temporaria (common frog)
Lineage: Eukaryota; Metazoa; Chordata; Amphibia; Anura; Ranidae
Exons: 2
Source: RefSeq, a predicted model, not a curated record
CAGGGGAGGUAAGGCAGGAGGAACAGACUAGUUGCCCCAAGCCCGACGGGAUAUGGAUUUCCCGUCGGACAGGUGGCAAAAGGGAAGGAGGGCAAAAUGGUAUUAGGGGAGCGGUCCAACAAAGUAGAUUUGGGGUAGCAUGGAAGGAACAAGUAUAGGAAGAGAGAUAAUGUAACAUAUUAUGAGCCUCUUUUCUUCCCCCAAAAGAGAUCCACUUCCCCUUUAUUUUUUGUUUCUAUUUUUUCUAAAGGAAUUGUUAUGAAGAUAAUACUGUUACUUAUGUAUUGACUGAUUUAAACCAGAGGAAUGCCUCCUAGGUUUCUGUAUACUCUUGCUUUGCUAAAAAAAAAACAAUAAAAAGAAGAUUGAAAGAAAUGUUAUCUGGGUGGGAAAGGACUUUUUUUUUUUUGGAUUUCUUUACAGAUAUCUUAAAUAGCAGAUGCUCUUGAAAAACGCACAUAGGAACCUCAUUGUUCAGCUUUGGCAAGUGUGCAAAUUCUGGUCCACUUUUCUUCUCCAUGUUUUUCAGAAUGCGUUAGAAAGCAUGAGGUGGGAAAUGGAGCACACACACGUAAUGUACAAUGGCAUGUGCUAUAUUGAGAAGUCCUAUGUAAUUUAACUGAUCAGGUAGAUAUUUUGGCUUUUUUCCUGAUGCUUUAGCUGUACUGUUUUAUAGCAAUUCAUUUGCCUAUAUUGUCUGAAGUGAUGGUGACCUUAGAAUGUUCUAUUUGUGUGUGCUUUUUUUUCCCCUUACUACUUUUUCAGACUUCUAAACAUUCCUGGAGCCCCUUCCGUAUGUCCAACAUUUUUACAAUGUUCUUCUGUGAUGCACCUUUUUUUUAUUUGCUUCCCUGGAUAAAUAUUAUUACCUUGCAUAAGUGAUGGCAAAUGCAAGUAUUCUCGGGAGGGAAAAAUGCUUUUUGGAUUUCUUCAGAUGUCUUCACUAGAAGUUUGGGAACAAAUUGGUUAGUCAGUUGCGAGUUUCCAGGUAUUCUAUCCCCUUUUAUCUCAGUUUUCAGAAAGCGCUGUGAAGUUUAACUGCGCAAAAUACAACUGUGAGG